CUGAUCAGCCAUGCCGCGUGUGUGAAGAAGGUCUUCGGAUUGUAAAGCACUUUAAGUUGGGAGGAAGGGCAGUAAAUUAAUACUUUGCUGUUUUGACGUUACCGACAGAAUAAGCACCGGCUAACUCUGUGCCAGCAGCCGCGGUAAUA
This 149-nucleotide ribosomal RNA is filed under the name uncultured bacterium. RNAcentral describes it as "partial 16S ribosomal RNA". It matches the Rfam family "Bacterial small subunit ribosomal RNA", at positions 383 to 525 of the family's 1533-position model. The record is from RNAcentral.